This 522-nucleotide ribosomal RNA is filed under the name Bacteroides sp. CJ47. RNAcentral's name for it is "bacterial SSU rRNA". It matches the Rfam family "Bacterial small subunit ribosomal RNA", at positions 8 to 521 of the family's 1533-position model. Lineage: Bacteria; Pseudomonadati; Bacteroidota; Bacteroidia; Bacteroidales; Bacteroidaceae. The record is from RNAcentral.
AGAGUUUGAUCCUGGCUCAGGAUGAACGCUAGCGGCAGGCCUAACACAUGCAAGUCGAGGGGCAUCGGGAUUGAAGCUUGCUUCAAUUGCCGGCGACCGGCGCACGGGUGCGUAACGCGUAUGUAACCUACCUAUAACAGGGGCAUAACACUGAGAAAUUGGUACUAAUUCCCCAUAAUAUUCGGAGAGGCAUCUCUCCGGGUUGAAAACUCCGGUGGUUAUAGAUGGACAUGCGUUGUAUUAGCUAGUUGGUGAGGUAACGGCUCACCAAGGCAACGAUACAUAGGGGGACUGAGAGGUUAACCCCCCACACUGGUACUGAGACACGGACCAGACUCCUACGGGAGACAGCAGUGAGGAAUAUUGGUCAAUGGACGCAAGUCUGAACCAGCCAUGCCGCGUGCAGGAAGACGGCUCUAUGAGUUGUAAACUGCUUUUGUACGAGGGUAAACUCACCUACGUGUAGGUGACUGAAAGUAUCGUACGAAUAAGAUCGGCUAACUCCGUGCCAGCAGCCGCGGU